AUUGAACGCUGGCGGCAGGCCUAACACAUGCAAGUCGAACGGUAACAGGAAGCAGCUUGCUGCUUCGCUGACGAGUGGCGGACGUGUGAGUAAUGUCUGGGAAGCUGCCUGAUGGAGGGGGAUAACUACUGGAAACGGUAGCUAAUACCGCAUAAUGUCGCAAGACCAAAGAGGGGGACCUUCGGGCCUCUUGCCAUCGGAUUUGCCCAGAUGGGAUUAGCUUGUUGGUGGGGUAACGGCUCACCAAGGCGACGAUCCCUAGCUGGUCUGAGAGGAUGACCAGCCACACUGGAACUGAGACACGGUCCAGACUCCUACGGGAGGCAGCAGUGGGGAAUAUUGCACAAUGGGCGCAAGCCUGAUGCAGCCAUGCCGCGUGUAUGAAGAAGGCCUUCGGGUUGUAAAGUACUUUCAGCGGGGAGGAAGGGAGUAAAGUUAAUACCUUUGCUCAUUGACGUUACCCGCAGAAGAAGCACCGGCUAACUCCGUG
This 490-nucleotide ribosomal RNA is filed under the name uncultured bacterium. Its description in RNAcentral is "partial 16S ribosomal RNA". It matches the Rfam family "Bacterial small subunit ribosomal RNA", at positions 30 to 507 of the family's 1533-position model. The record is from RNAcentral.